CUUACGAUGAUGAUACAAUGUCACUGAUGAUUGACUUCUUCUAUUUUUGAUUGAGACAAUCUUUAAGGAUGUUCGCUUUUGCGAGGCAUUUGUCUGAUUUUAUA
Molecule: small nucleolar RNA, 104 nt
Organism: Hermetia illucens (black soldier fly)
Lineage: Eukaryota; Metazoa; Arthropoda; Insecta; Diptera; Stratiomyidae
Product: small nucleolar RNA Me28S-Am2589
Exons: 1
Source: RefSeq, a predicted model, not a curated record